Molecule: ribosomal RNA, 738 nt
Filed under: uncultured bacterium
Lineage: Bacteria
Description: bacterial SSU rRNA
Rfam family: Bacterial small subunit ribosomal RNA
Source: RNAcentral
AAAUGCUUAGAUAUGAAAUAGAACACCGAUCGCGAAGGCAGCUUACGAAACUAUAACUGACGCUCAGGAACGAAAGCGUGGGGAGCGAACAGGAUUAGAUACCCUGGUAGUCCACGCUGUAAACGAUGAUUACUCGUUGUCGGCGAUACACAGUCGGUGGCUAAGCGAAAGUGAUAAGUAAUCCACCUGGGGAGUACGAUCGCAAGGUUGAAACUCAAAGGAAUUGACGGGGGCCCGCACAAGCGGAGGAGCAUGUGGUUUAAUUCGAUGAUACGCGAGGAACCUUACCUGGGCUUAAAUGUAGAUUGCAUGAAGGGGAAACCUUUCUUUUCUUCGGAACUAUUUACAAGGUGCUGCAUGGUUGUCGUCAGCUCGUGCCGUGAGGUGUCGGGUUAAGUCCCAUAACGAGCGCAACCCCUACUUCUAGUUGCCAUCAGGUAAUGCUGGGGACUCUAGAGGAACUGCCUACGCAAGUAGUGAGGAAGGUGGGGAUGACGUCAAAUCAGCACGGCCCUUACGUCCAGGGCUACACACGUGCUACAAUGGUCGGUACAGAGGGCAGCUACCACGCGAGUGGAUGCAAAUCUCUAAAGCCGAUCUCAGUUCGGAUCGAAGUCUGAAACUCGACUUCGUGAAGUUGGAUUCGCUAGUAAUCGCGCAUCAGCCAUGGCGCGGUGAAUACGUUCCCGGGCCUUGUACACACCGCCCGUCAAACAAUGGAAGCUUGGGGUACCUGAA